UCGAGUGAAUCGUGGUUAAGGAAUUCGGCAAAAUGCCCCCGUAACUUCGGGAGAAGGGGGGCCCGGAACCUGAAGUGACUUGCUCACUAGGGUGAAGGGCCGCAGAGACCAGGGAGAAGCGACUGUUUACUAAAAACAUAGGUCCGUGCGAAGUCGCAAGACGAUGUAUACGGACUGACGCCUGCCCGGUGCUGGAAGGUUAAGAGGACCGGUUAGACCGUAAGGUCGAAGCUGGGAAUUUAAGCCCCAGUAAACGGCGGUGGUAACUAUAACCAUCCUAAGGUAGCGAAAUUCCUUGUCGGGUAAGUUCCGACCUGCACGAAUGGCGUAACGACUUCUCCACUGUCUCAACCGCGAACUCGGCGAAAUUGCACUACGAGUAAAGAUGCUCGUUACGCGCAGCAGGACGGAAAGACCCCGGGACCCUUACUAUAGCUUGGUAUUGGUGUUCGGUACGGCUUGUGUAGGAUAGGUGGGAGACUGUGAAGCAUGCACGCCAGUGUGUGUGGAGUCAACGUUGAAAUACCACUCUGGUCGUUCUGGAUAUCUAACCUCGGUCCGUGAUCCGGAUCAGGGACAGUGCCUGGUGGGUAGUUUAACUGGGGCGGUUGCCUCCUAAAAGGUAACGGAGGCGCUCAAAGGUUCCCUCAGCCUGGUUGGCAAUCAGGUUUCGAGUGUAAGUGCACAAGGGAGCUUGACUGCGAGAGAGACAUCUCGAGCAGGGACGAAAGUCGGAACUAGUGACCCGGCGGUGGCUUGUGGAAGCGCCGUCGCUCAACGGAUAAAAGGUACCCCGGGGAUAACAGGCUGAUCUUGCCCAAGAGUCCAUAUCGACGGCAUGGUUUGGCACCUCGAUGUCGGCUCGUCGCAUCCUGGGGGUUGAGUUGCUCCCAAGGGUUGGGCUGUUCGCCCAUUAAAGCGGUACGCGAGCUGGGUUUAGAACGUCGUGAGACAGUUCGGUCCCUAUCCGCUGUGCGCGUAGGAAACUUGAGAAGGGCUGACCCUAGUACGAGAGGAUCGGGUUGGACGAACCUCUGGUGUGUCAGUUGUCCUGCCAAGGGCACCGCUGAUUAGCUACGUUCGGAAGUGAUAACCGCUGAAAGCAUCUAAGCGGGAAGCACGCUUCAAGAUGAGGUUUCCAUGCACCGUUAGGUGUGAGAGGCUCCCGGCUAGACUACCGGGUUGAUAGGCCAGACGUGGAAGUGCAGCAAUGCAUGUAGCUGACUGGUACUAAUAAGCCGACAACUUGGU
RNAcentral lists this ribosomal RNA (1251 nucleotides) under metagenome. RNAcentral's name for it is "bacterial LSU rRNA". It matches the Rfam family "Bacterial large subunit ribosomal RNA", at positions 1689 to 2925 of the family's 2925-position model. The record is from RNAcentral.